This is a non-coding RNA of Meleagris gallopavo (turkey), 2773 nucleotides long. The record is from RefSeq and is a predicted model, not a curated record. Lineage: Eukaryota; Metazoa; Chordata; Aves; Galliformes; Phasianidae.
UUUUCAGAUAAAAGCAAAGCUUAUCUGAAAAGGGUUGAUGAAAAUAGUGAUUGAAAACAUAUUAUUUUCAUUUGAGAGAGAAAGUUGGUACUUCAGGGAUUUGGAUUGCAUUUGUUUCAGGGCUUUUGGUGGUGGCAGUGCUCUGCUUGGCAGACAUUUUGCUUCAAGUGCCUUUUUUUUUUUUUUCUGACUUCUGAUUGAGAGUUUCAAAAAUAAGCUGCAGAGAAAGGAGAAAGUGAAACUCAGAUGCACGAGAAAAGUAUCAAGUCCCAACUGAGGAGAUAUAAUCGGUCUUGAAACAUCUCAAAAUGUGUCAACCAUGUUUAGAAAUGGCUACAUUAAAAAGGAGGAAAGCUUGAUCCUUUUAGCACUGUAAAUCAUGGAAAGCAGUGAAAACUAAUAUUUAUGAGGGGGAUUGUGAAAGCCUGUGUGACAGUUGGAAAUUACAUCACUGUUGAUGUUUCAAAUUCUUGUGUAAAGUAAUGCAAUACUGUGUUUAUGAAUGAAUGAACAAAUGAUUGUGCUGUGCUAAGUAUACUAUGUUGCUUGACUUGGUUGAGCUAUUUUUUAUCUGUUGUUUUUUUUCUUAUGCUACUCCACUGUAUACAGUUCCAUAUGUUUCAGCAUAAAAGUAGAAAACACAAUUCAGUAUAUGUAUUUUUUUUUAUUUCAGAUACAGACCCACGUGUAUUAGAGAAACAAGAACUUCAGCAGCCAACCUAUGUUGCUCUAAGUUACAUUAACAGAUGGCAGACUCUGAAGACAUAGCUAGAUGAUUAUAUGAACAAUUACUUUGAAGUAUCAAGCCUGGAAACUGUACAUAUAUGAAGAAAGUAUCCUGAGAAGUCGUCUUCAUGAGAGCAGCAGUUCCCAGAAGGCAGCAUUUUUGUGGUUGCUUGUGUGGUGCAGCUUUCAGGAGAACAAAGCCAGAGCCCUGAGGAGGAAUUCAGCCAAAGCAGCUCAGAGUUGUGAGGCCUAGCCACCAUUAGCCUUGGCGUUCUGGCAUCCUGAGUGCACGUUUUUCUUUUUCAUCCUGGUCUCUUGUGAAAAUGAAAAUAAUGCAACUCAGGGUGUAGCUCUGUGAGUAUUUUUUCUGAAUUACUUCAGAACAUUUCUGAUUCUCAGUUUCUCAGUGCAUCAGAUCAGCAGGGAGAGACGUGAUGUUUUGCAAUUGAUUUGUUGAGAUGCUGUGUGAUUUAGGAAGUGUCAUGUAGGAUAAGAGAAGGUGUCAGGAUAUUAAAGACUUCCUGCUGUGAGGUAAAGGAUCUCAUAACAGAUAGGGGAAGAGAGUGGAGGGAGAAACAAGUGGAAUGGAAGGAAAUCAUAUUUGCUCUUCAUAUCUGUCUACGCAUUGCAACUUAGAGACUGAGAAUCUGUAUUUUAGAACACCCUUAGGUGAGCUAUAGGAGGAGGCAUUUUGAAUGGAAACAUUUCUGGUGUCCCACUUUUGUUGAAGAUGCUGCUUGGGUUCACAGUUACUAAAGAAAGAUUGCUGACAGCAGCCAAGUUAAGAUGGAUGUACGCUUGCAGUUCUUCUGUAGGGAUGGAAUGGGAAAUAUUUAAUACAUAGAUUAGACUACUGGCAUAAUAAAUAUUCACAGUAGCAUAUAAAACACCAAAAAUGUAUUUUUCAUCAAACAUUUCCUCUGUUGACCUAGCACAAGUUUCAAACUGCUCUUUCCUAGAAUCGUUAUCAGACAGGUGGUGUUGUCAAUUGCACUUCUUUAGUUGGUGUCUGUUUCUGCAACAUAUUGAGAAUUACAGUUAAUAAGUUAAUCAAAUACAAAUAUGUUAAUUUAAUCUCAGUGAAACAGAUGUUACUUUAAAUUCCCUAAUACAUAAUAUAGAGAUUAGUUUUCCAAGACUGGAUAAGAUGAGCAGUGCAAUGUGAAUUAAACGUAAAAAUUUCCACAGUCUUAAGUGGAGACUGCUGUGGUUCAUAAGGUUCGGUUGACUUUCCUUCCUUUAGCUGUUAAUUUUUCUACACAUCCGCUUUUGUAGUGUGUGGUUUGAACAAGAAACAAAGUUUUCAAGGUGUUUUGUCUAGGCAUUCUUUCUAGUAACAGCCUGCACAGAACCACGCAGUACCAACAGCCAUGUGAAAAUGUCUACGCUGGGAGACCUACUGCACAUUUCAGGGGUUUCAUUUUAAUUUAUUUUUUAACACUUUAGAAAAUGGGGUUGUUUUAACAAGCACAGAUAAUGAAAUUCCUAGGUCUCGCCUUUAUUUGAACACAGGACUUAUGUACCUCCUGCUCUGUUCAUCGCUGUUGAGAAAUCCAGCUUGCAAUUUAGAAUAUUGUCAUUUGAGUGGAAUUGCUUGUAUAUGUCAUUCAUGUAAUAGCUUGGGCUUGCUGGCUCCCCGAACCUGCCAUUUGUCAGAAAGUGGGCAUUUGUGAACUUGAACGUAUGGUGUGUAUAAAAUACCACUAAAUUUCAGCUAUGCACAUUUCAAAAUCACAUUCCAAGAAAAUAGCAAAAUCGAUUUGUAUUCAUUUUUUAUCAUUUAAUUUCUCAUUUUUAUUUUCUGUUUUUAGCGGUGUUAGGUAAAAGCCUUAAAACACCAUUGUACAUACUUAAUAUAUUCCCUUCGUUCUGUGGAAUUAGUCGAUUUAAAGUCCUAUUGACAGUGCAUUUUAGUCCAGAUGGUCUCAGCUUUGUGUAAUUUACCUUUCAAUGUAUGUCUUUCCAGCUGGGACAACUCUGCUUUGGGUGGAAUUUGCAUAGACAUCAGAUAUUUGCUACAUGCCUGGAAAGAAAAGUGUGACCAAGU